AAAGUGAAUACGACUUUCUGCUCUAAUGUAAACGCCUGCAGUUGUCCAUAUCGACAUUUAAAUCAUACAAAUUACGUACAAUAUAGUCGGACCGCAGGUCUAAAAGAACCGACGACCCAGUUCAAGUAAACCGGUUCAGUAAUUCUCGAACAAAGUGAUUCCCGGAAAAGAAUCGACGUCUCAGGGCAUUUCAAAGUGCGCGCACGCACAGCGAGUGACGCUGGCCGCGUUAGUGAAGUGAUUUGAUGCUUUUGUGGUUUAUAAAGUCUUUUUACAUACAAAUUAUAAUUCAAAAUGUGUUUUUUUUCCUGUCAGAAAAGCGCAUGGAUACAUUUGUGAGAGAAAAACUCGUCGAGUGCAGUCUUAUUGAGGCGUCUAACGGUUGGAACAAACAUGGAAUUCCUUAACUGAGCAGAGUCCACAAAACCCCAUCCAAUUGUCGUGGUGAUUUAAAAAUGCCAGCAGAUCUCUCAGGCAUUGAUCAUAAUCAAUGGACAGGUCACCGUAGCCACCCGUAUCCAGUACGUAUCCAGACCAGAUGGAGAUCAUCAUCUAGAAAGGACCUCUACAUCCCUGAAAGACAGCGGAGACCAGGACAACUAGAGCCCCAGAUACAGAUCCCCUGUAAAGACCUUGUCUCAGAGGACCACCAGGACAAGACCACAGGAAACAGAUGAUUCUUCUGCACAAUCUGACUUUGCUGCAGCCUGGAAUUGAACUACUGGUUUCGUCUGGUCAGAGGAGAACUGACCCCAACUGAGCCUGGUUUCUCCCAAGGUUUUUUUCUCCAUUCUGUCACCGAUGGAGUUUUGGUUCCUUGUUUUUCUUUAGUUGAGGACAAUUAAUACCAAGCGAUAUCAUUCACUUGAUUGCACAGAGGGACGAUACAUCAAUGAAUCAAUGACGAAUUGACUUUAACUGAAAACUGAGUGUUUACUUUUGUCCCUUUGCAUUAUUACACACUAUUUUCCUAUUUAAUACUGUAAAGCUGCUAUGAUGCAGUAUUUGAUCAAUAUGAGAGGCUUAUUACUCAUAAUACAUGGAAAAUACAGCUACAAACUGACUUUGUUUUUCCAUUUGAAAUUUGGCAGUCACUGUGCAUUCAUGAAAACUGAAACCGUAAUUUUUGUUCAGUGUUUUUGAAACAGUGUUUUUGUUCAAGAUUUGCAAUUGUGUUUGGAUUGUCACAAUUUGUCACAUGUGGAAAACGCAAUUGAAAAUAUGAUUAGCAAUUCCUUUUGAAAAUUGUCCUUCCAUAGACAGGCUCUAUAACGGAGUACACUGCUCUCAGGUGUAGAUCUUUGCUUCAGAGCUUAAGUGUUUGACAAUAGUUCACCCAAAAAUGAAAAUUGUCACUAAUUAUUCACCCUGGUCUGAAAGCUCUCGAAUAUCAACGAAAAUAUCUUAACUUGUGUUCUGAAGAUUGACUAAGGGCUUACGGGUUUAUAACGACAUGAAGUUGAGUAAUAAAUGACAGAAUUUUCAUUUUUGGGUGAACUAUAUGUUGAACUACACUAAGCAGUGCACAUCUACCUACGUAGGAGUCUUUAUAUACUUGAUAUCAAUUUAAGGACAUCUUUAAAUGAUUUUACAUUUAAAUUUAAAGAAUGUUAAUUGUCAAUGUCAUUUCACUGUGUAUUUAAAUAGCUAAAAAUCUCAAAAUGUAAUAGUUAAACAGCUAGACAGAGGUCAUUCAGAAA
Molecule: long non-coding RNA, 1700 nt
Organism: Carassius gibelio (silver crucian carp)
Lineage: Eukaryota; Metazoa; Chordata; Actinopteri; Cypriniformes; Cyprinidae
Exons: 3
Source: RefSeq, a predicted model, not a curated record